UACAGAGGGUGCAAGCGUUAAUCGGAAUUACUGGGCGUAAAGCGCGCGUAGGUGGUUAGUUAAGUUGGAUGUGAAAUCCCCGGGCUCAACCUGGGAACUGCAUUCAAAACUGACUGACUAGAGUAUGGUAGAGGGUGGUGGAAUUUCCUGUGUAGCGGUGAAAUGCGUAGAUAUAGGAAGGAACACCAGUGGCGAAGGCGGCUUUCUGGACCAAUACUGACGCUGAGACGCGAAAGCGUGGGGAGCAAACAGGAUUAGAAACCCGUGUAGU
RNAcentral lists this ribosomal RNA (271 nucleotides) under uncultured bacterium. Its description in RNAcentral is "partial 16S ribosomal RNA". It matches the Rfam family "Bacterial small subunit ribosomal RNA", at positions 524 to 794 of the family's 1533-position model. The record is from RNAcentral.